This is a long non-coding RNA of Zalophus californianus (California sea lion), 3821 nucleotides long. The record is from Ensembl. NCBI's taxonomy places the organism in Eukaryota, Metazoa, Chordata, Mammalia, Carnivora, Otariidae.
AUGAUUGCUGGUGAACUCUCAAAAAACACCUUCCCUCAGGCCCCAGCCCUAGAUAUUCAGACUCGGUUACCAAGGGCUGGGCGACCCGGCUGUCCGGUUUCUAAUCGUUCCUGGGUGAUUCAGACGGACGCUGCUGCGCUCGGCUGCUCACUCCCCCACGGUGCGAGCGCGUCGAGGCGACCCGCAGGGCCUCUCGGGCCGAAGCCGUGCAAGGUGGACGUCUACCUGGACGGGGCUACCCGCCGUCCAGGCCUGCAGAGGUCAACGAGCUACCCACCGUCGGCACGCACGCGCAGCAAAACCGCCCCCGCCCCGGAGCUGCCGACCCCCUCCCCAAGGGCUUCCCUCCCCAAGAGGCCAUCCCGCUGUGAGCCCUCCACCCGGGGCGAGCCAGGAGCCCGGGAGCUGCGGAGGCAGCCCGCUGCCACUCGGCGGCGCUGGUCUGGCCGCACGCCGCGUUGUCCAAGGGCAGGGAAAAUCCUGCCCUCAAGAGAGCCCCGGCUUCCCCGCGGCCUCUUGACACCGAGGCCUCUUCACGCGCGGUCCCAACCCGGGGCUGACGGGUUCGCGACUGUCCUGCCAAUCAGAUACGUUUUCCUCAGAGUGGCCAGCCGACCAAUCACCGCGCGCGGGUGUCUUCUUCGGCUCUUCGGCUCGUCGGCCCUUCGGCCCUUCGGGCCUUCGGUUCUUCGGCGCUCGCUGUUGCUGGGCGCUCCGGGGCCUUCCGCCACGCUCGAAAGCUUAGUUCUCCCGGGUUUAAUUUCCCCUUUUUUUCUCAGACACUUCCGGGUCCUGCGUCGCUCCGGAAGCCCGCGAGUUCCGGAAAAAGCCUGGGUAAUCCAGGUUCUGGGAGAAACCAAGCUUCCCAGAGAAUGUCUCAGAGAAAGUUACGUGGAACGGGGGCGUUUUCGCAGACUCCUAAGACCUCUCCCUCCUUAAUGCCUGUCAGUAAGAGACCUUCAAAGAAGACAUGGCCUCCAAGGAAGAGAACACGAAAAGGACAAACAGAGUGCUAAGAAUAAGUCAGCUGGAUGCACUUGAACUGAACAAGGCCCUGGAGCAGCUAGUUUGGUCCCAGUUUUCUCAGUGCUUUCAUGGAUUUAAGCCAGGGCUAUUAGCCCACUUUGAACCAGAGGUGAAAGCGUUCUUGUGGCUUUUCUUGUGGCGAUUCACUGUCUACUCUAAAAAUGCCACCGUGGGACAAUCCGUUUUGAAUAUUCAGUACAAAAAUGAUUUUUCCCCAAAGCUGAGGUACCAGCCGCCGAGUAAGAAUCAGAAACUAUGGUAUGCUGUGUGUACGAUUGGCGGCACGUGGCUGGAAGAGCGCUGCUACGACCUGUUUCGAAACCGUCAUUUGGCAUCAUUUGGGAAAGCCAGGCAGUGUGUGAAUAUCAUAGUUGGACUUUUGAAAUUAAGUGGGCUGAUUAAUUUCCUGAUUUUCCUUCAGAGGGGCAAGUUUGCAACUUUGACAGAACGUCUCCUGGGCAUUCGUUCUGUAUUUUGCAAGCCCCCAAACAUACGUGAAGUUGGCUUUGAGUAUAUGAAUAGGGAACUUCUCUGGCAUGGUUUUGCUGAGUUCCUGAUAUUUCUCUUACCACUUAUUAAUAUCCAGAAGUUGAAAGCUAAGUUGUCUUCAUGGUGUAUUCCUCUUACUGGUGCUCCUAAUAGUGACAAUACAUUAGCCACCAACGGCAAACAGUGUUCUCUGUGUGGAGAGUGGCCCACCAUGCCUCACACCAUAGGAUGUGAGCAUAUCUUCUGUUACUACUGCGUGAAGAGUAGUUUCUUAUUUGACAUGUACUUUACUUGUCCUAAGUGUGGCGCAGAGGUACACAGUGUGCAGCCACUGAAAUCAGGAAUCGAGAUGUCAGAAGUCAAUGCUCUUUAAAAACUAAGAUUGUUUCCUUUGAGGAAAACUGUAUUAUGUUCAAAUCCUUAAUAUUAGUCAUCCUAAGCAUAGUGUUUAGGUGUCUUUUAGGAGGGGAUGUGCUUCUCCAGCCACCGUCUGUCUUCUGUUCCUUUCCAAGCAUGAUGAAAUUCUAAUCACUAGAAACCACAUGAUUCUGAACAUACUAGGUAAACAAUAAUGUGUUACUUUAAAUCAUUGCAUUCAGUUUUUAAUGUCGAGAAUAAUGGACAGUUUUUGUCAGACUACUAAAAAUGCUCUUUCAUUUUGCUACUUCCUAGAAAGAGGUUAGAUUCUAAAAUGAUUUCAGAGACUGGGAUAAGUGUGUAUUUAUUUUAAGAGAUGGCGUUAUAACAUCAUAAUCUGACAAUGAUAAGACCCUAUUGUUUUGAGCCUUAAGAUCUAGUGCCCCAGUUGUAAUUUUAAGCUUUUCUCUAAAAUCUGUUUUUGAGGGAUUCAGUUGGCUUCAUUCUCAGGCAAAAUGAUGGCCACCAGGAGCUCUAGACUGAUGUUCUGCCAGCUUUCUGAUCCCCUGGGAAUGAGAGCUGCUUGUGUAAUAGCUCCGGCUAAGUCCAGGACCUCAUUGUCUUUGGUCUGCCUGGGAUUACACACUUGUGAACCAGGACAGAAAAGUACUACUCUUGAUUACUAGAUGUGUACCUUGUGGACCCGUAGUAGGAGAGCAGGCAGUUCGCCACAGGAAACUCAGGUGCCAUUAUAAGAAUAGUGGAUGGUGGGCAGCUAAGAACAACAGAUCCCUGCUAGAGUCCACAUUUAACUUAUUAAUAUCAAAAGUCUUUAUGCAUUCUUUAAUUUUACCAUUGAUCUGAGUUGAUGACAUAAGUAACUGAAUGGUUGACUUAGAUUGCAGACUUAAAAGGAUUAAAUAAAUGUUUUGUUAUACCAACAACUUUGUUGUAGUGUUAUUUUGAUAAAGUGCAUUCUGAGUAAAUACCCAUAUUAUUACCAUUUUAACAUGAAAAUAGUACUUUACCUAUAUGCUAACUAAUAGAGUUGUCAAUAUUACAGGGGUUUUAUGUUUUUCCAGACACUAAUGGCACUUAGUACAAUAAAUUUUUUUAAUUGUUUAUUUUUAUUUAGCAUCUACCCCCUCACUAAGUGACUACCCACAGGAGGUCAGGGAGUAUGAGUGUUCUCCUCGUCACUGGAUAACCAGAACCUAACUCUCUUAGUGCCAGUGUAGCAAUAGAGACAUUUUGUUAGCUGAACAACUAAACCUAAUAUCCGAGAUUGGGUUCUGCAAAAGUACAUGUUGCGAGGGACUUGAGGUACUUGGGCCUGGAUUGGGUCAAAGUGGUCAGACCUUUUUACCUACACCUCUCAGUCACUGGCCAUGUGCUCUGGGAAGGGUGUGACCUGGAGUGUGCCGGUUCUCUGCAGCUGCGGCAGACCCUAAAGGACCUGACUACCGCAGGCAGCCUGCUGACCCCACUCCCCCAGCUGGGCAACACAUCCAUCCCUGAGGAGCUGGGUGACCAGCCUAGUGUUAACCACAUCUAAUACUGUCUCUCCAUUAUUUUUCUUUAUGGUUUUCCAUUUCUGUUGUUCUUGCUUGUAAGCAUACAGAUAACACAUUAGUGGCAGGAAGUGUUCAACUUAAAAUCAUUCGGUUUAUGACUGACUUGUGUACUCAAGUGCUGCCUCAGGGAACUCCAACUCACUGCAGAGACCUAGGCCUGCUGGCUAAGUUGCUCUGACACCUGGUCCCUGCCUCCCGGUGCACUGCCAGGAGACUUGCUCUAACAGUGGCGCUUCUGUUCCUACUCCCCAGUGGUCUCAGGGCUCAAGGUUCAGUAUAACUGGGUCAUGUUUAGCUACAUGAUACAUUUCUGCUUUAGCCUCAAGAACCUAACCAUCACCUAUGAGUAUCUCCCCUUGGGAAAAUAAAAACUUU